AAAACUCAAUAUUAUUAAUCUAGUAUCCUAAUGAUGUUUUUAGCUGAUUUAGUUACAAUUUUCACCCUUUAAUACUUCUUUAAUUUACUGACUAUUCUUAAUUCACGUGGCAAGAGGUUUGAUGGUUGAUAUUUGAAAUUUCAAGUCUAAAUUGUAAUUGAUUUACAUUUCCAGCUAAAUUUAUUUAUAAAAAAAUAAAACAAAGAGAAUAACAUACUAUUUUUUUUUAAAAAAAUACUUAUUUAAUUUU
RNAcentral lists this long non-coding RNA (250 nucleotides) under Ananas comosus (pineapple). Its description in RNAcentral is "long non-coding RNA (ACOM_LNC018838)". The record is from RNAcentral. Lineage: Eukaryota; Viridiplantae; Streptophyta; Magnoliopsida; Poales; Bromeliaceae.